CAACAGGGAUUGCCCUAGUAACGGCGAGUGAAGCGGCAACAGCUCAAAUUUGAAAUCUGGCUUCGGCCCGAGUUGUAAUUUGCAGAGGAUGCUUCUGGCGCGGUGCCUUCCGAGUUCCCUGGAACGGGACGCCACAGAGGGUGAGAGCCCCGUAUGGUCGGACACCAAGCCUGUGUGAAGCUCCUUCGACGAGUCGAGUAGUUUGGGAAUGCUGCUCUAAAUGGGAGGUAAAUCUCUUCUAAAGCUAAAUACCGGCCAGAGACCGAUAGCGCACAAGUAGAGUGAUCGAAAGAUGAAAAGCACCUUGAAAAGGGGGUUAAAUAGUACGUGAAAUUGUUGAAAGGGAAGCGUUUAUGACCAGACUUGCGCCGGGCGGCUCAUCAGGGGUUCUCCCCUGUGCAUUCCGCCCGGCUCAGGCCAGCAUCGGUUCUCGUGGGGGGAUAAGACCGUCGGGAACGUAGCACCCUCCGGGGUGUGUUAUAGCCCGGCGGACGAUACCCUCGUGGGGACCGAGGUUCGCGCUCCGCAAGGAUGCUGGCGUAAUGGUCAUCAGCGACCCGUCUUGAAACACGGACCAAGGAGUCGUCCAUUAGAGCGAGCGUUUGGGUGUAAAACCCGCACGCGUAAUGAAAGUGAACGCAGGUGAGAGCUUCGGCGCAUCAUCGACCGAUCCUGAUGUUCUCGGAAGGAUUUGAGUAAGAGUUUUAACGGACGGACCCGAAAGACAGUGAACUAUGCUUGUAUAGGGUGAAGCCAGAGGAAACUCUGGUGGAGGCUCGCAGCGGUUCUGACGUGCAAAUCGAUCGUCAAAUAUGAGCAUGGGGGCGAAAGACUAAUCGAACUGUCUAGUAGCUGGUUAC
RNAcentral lists this ribosomal RNA (860 nucleotides) under Diaporthe amygdali. RNAcentral describes it as "LSU rRNA". It matches the Rfam family "Eukaryotic large subunit ribosomal RNA", at positions 66 to 958 of the family's 3401-position model. The record is from RNAcentral. Lineage: Eukaryota; Fungi; Ascomycota; Sordariomycetes; Diaporthales; Diaporthaceae.